Long non-coding RNA from Dendronephthya gigantea, 318 nucleotides. RefSeq lists it as uncharacterized. The record is from RefSeq and is a predicted model, not a curated record. The transcript is spliced from 3 exons. NCBI's taxonomy places the organism in Eukaryota, Metazoa, Cnidaria, Anthozoa, Malacalcyonacea, Nephtheidae.
GACGAAACUGGGCAGAUUCUGUGGAAACCAAUUACCAAGAAGCCUGGUAUCAUCUGGACUCAAACUCUUCAUCGUGUUUCACUCGGAUUAUAGCGUGUCAGCACCGGGAUUUGUUCUGAACUAUUCAACACCAUUAGAUGUAAAUGAAUGUUACUUUGGAACACACAACUGCGCUAUUGGAGCGUCAUGUGUCAAUACGAAUGAAUCGUUUUACUGCAUUUGUGAAAACGGUUAUACCGGAGAUGGCGUAACCUGCACAGAUAUCAAUGAAUGUGAACUUGGAAUUGAUAACUGUCAUUCUCAAGCAUCAUGUCGCAA